Molecule: ribosomal RNA, 450 nt
Filed under: uncultured bacterium
Lineage: Bacteria
Description: partial 16S ribosomal RNA
Rfam family: Bacterial small subunit ribosomal RNA
Source: RNAcentral
AGCGAACGCUGGCGGCAGGCUUAACACAUGCAAGUCGAGCGGGCCCUUCGGGGUCAGCGGCAGACGGGUGAGUAACGCGUGGGAACGUACCCUUUGGUUCGGAAUAACUCAGGGAAACUUGAGCUAAUACCGGAUACGCCCUUUUUGGGGAAAGGGUUGCUGCCGAAGGCUCGGCCCGCGUCUGAUUAGCUUGGUGGUGAGGUUAUGGCUCACCAAGGCGACGAUCAGUAGCUGGUCUGAGAGGAUGAUCAGCCACACUGGGACUGAGACACGGCCCAGACUCCUACGGGAGGCAGCAGUGGGGAAUAUUGGACAAUGGGGGCAACCCUGAUCCAGCCAUGCCGCGUGAGUGAUGACGGCCUUAGGGUUGUAAAGCUCUUUUCUCCGGGACGAUAAUGACGGUACCGGAGGAAUAAGCCCCGGCUAACUUCGUGCCAGCCGCCGCCGUAA